Molecule: ribosomal RNA, 253 nt
Filed under: uncultured bacterium
Lineage: Bacteria
Description: partial 16S ribosomal RNA
Rfam family: Bacterial small subunit ribosomal RNA
Source: RNAcentral
UACGUAGGUGGCAAGCGUUGUCCGGAUUUAUUGGGUUUAAAGGGUGCGUAGGCGGCCUAUUAAGUCAGUGCUGAAAUAUCCCGGCUUAACCGGGAGGGUGGCAUUGAUACUGAUGGGCUUGAGUAUAGUCGAGGUAGGCGGAAUUGACGGUGUAGCGGUGAAAUGCUUAGAUAUCGUCAAGAACACCGAUAGUGCAGACAGCUUACUAGGCUAAAACUGACGCUGAGGCACGAAAGUGUGGGGAUCAAACAGG